RNAcentral lists this ribosomal RNA (119 nucleotides) under Lepisosteus oculatus (spotted gar). The record is from RNAcentral. Lineage: Eukaryota; Metazoa; Chordata; Actinopteri; Semionotiformes; Lepisosteidae.
ACCAGCGGCCAUAUCACUCUGCAGCUCAUAACUGGCAGCCCACUGCAGCUCAGCAUGUGUGAGCCUAGUCAGUACCUGGAUGGGAGGCCUUCUGGGAAAAACUAAGGUUGCUGCUGAAA